Long non-coding RNA from Acanthochromis polyacanthus (spiny chromis), 585 nucleotides. RefSeq lists it as uncharacterized. The record is from RefSeq and is a predicted model, not a curated record. NCBI's taxonomy places the organism in Eukaryota, Metazoa, Chordata, Actinopteri, Pomacentridae. The transcript is spliced from 2 exons.
UUAGCCUCCUACCGACUCAUCCUCCGGUCAGACAACAUGGAUGUGAUGAUGAAGAGGGGCGGGGGGCUGCGCAGGCAGCAUCGAUAAUCGAUCAGACUGAUUGAUAAACAGAAACCUCAUAGGCUAACCGGAACCGAUCAGAAGUAUUGACUGAGCAGCUUCCCGAGCUUUCAGCUGCGUCUCUGGUUCCCCUUCAAUGGAUGAACUGAUCAGGUAGACGGAGGCAGAUCACAGGUGAGUUAAACACCUGACCAGGCGAUCCUUUACUCUGCUUUGACAGAAACUCAAUGAUACUCCAGAAAUUCAACAGUUUCCAGUUUGUGUUGAAUGUUUUUUAGAGUCCUGCAGUAGCAGCCUGCAGCCACCAGAUGGCGACACCUGUGUUCACCUGCGGCCACCUGCAUUUUCAUCAUAGCAGGUUUUUACAUCUGUUGUAUAAACCAAAUUAAGUUUAAAUUGGUGUGAAGACGAUUAAGUCAUUCCUUCCUGUUGACUUCUAUUGGCUCGUGUUCAGUGGUUUAAAAGUUAAACUGACCUUAGUUUGUCUUGAACAAAAAGCUGAUUAAAGUUAACUUUUAAAACCUC